CAGCGCCACGGGAAUACAGAGGGUGCAAGCGUUAAUCGGAAUUACUGGGCGUAAAGCGCGCGUAGGUGGUUUGUUAAGUUGGAUGUGAAAUCCCCGGGCUCAACCUGGGAACUGCAUCCAAAACUGGCAAGCUAGAGUAUGGUAGAGGGUGGUGGAAUUUCCUGUGUAGCGGUGAAAUGCGUAGAUAUAGGAAGGAACACCAGUGGCGAAGGCGACCACCUGGACUGAUACUGACACUGAGGUGCGAAAGCGUGGGGAGCAAACAGGAUUAGAUACCCCCGUAGUCCCUGUCUCUUAUACA
Molecule: ribosomal RNA, 301 nt
Filed under: uncultured bacterium
Lineage: Bacteria
Description: partial 16S ribosomal RNA
Rfam family: Bacterial small subunit ribosomal RNA
Source: RNAcentral